GACUGAGAACAAGCGUGAUGAUCGACUUAAAUUAAUAACUUUCGUUCUACUGAGUGUUGAUCAAACGAUCUUGUAGAAAACCUUUAUUGAAUCUGACACUCUCAGUCACGCG
This is a small nucleolar RNA of Lachancea thermotolerans CBS 6340, 112 nucleotides long. The record is from RefSeq and is a predicted model, not a curated record. NCBI's taxonomy places the organism in Eukaryota, Fungi, Ascomycota, Saccharomycetes, Saccharomycetales, Saccharomycetaceae.